Non-coding RNA from Echinostoma caproni, 45 nucleotides. Lineage: Eukaryota; Metazoa; Platyhelminthes; Trematoda; Plagiorchiida; Echinostomatidae. The record is from Rfam.
GCACUGCUGAUGAGUCCCAAGCAGGACGAAACAGCUGUCUAGUGC